CCUACGGGAGGCAGCAGUAAGGAAUAUUGGUCAAUGGACGCAAGUCUGAACCAGCCAUGCCGCGUGAAGGAUUAAGGCCCUCUGGGUUGUAAACUUCUUUUAUAGGGGACGAAAAAAGGGCAUUCUUGCUCACUUGACGGUACCCUAGGAAUAAGCACCGGCUAACUCCGUGCCAGCAGCCGCGGUAAUACGGAGGGUGCAAGCGUUAUCCGGAUUUACUGGGUUUAAAGGGUGCGUAGGUGGGUUGGUAAGUCAGUGGUGAAAUCUUCGAGCUUAACUCGGAAACUGCCAUUGAUACUAUCAAUCUUGAAUCAUCUAGAGGUAAGCGGAAUAUGUCAUGUAGCGGUGAAAUGCUUAGAUAUGACAUAGAACACCAAUUGCGAAGGCAGCUUACUAUGGAUGCAUUGACACUGAGGCACGAAAGCGUGGGGAUCAAACAGGAUUAGAUACCCUGGUAGUCCACGCCCUAAACGAUGGAUACUCGACAUUUGUGAUAUACAAUAAGUGUCUGAGCGAAAAGCAUUAAGUAUCCCACCUGGGAAGUACGACCGCAAGGUUGAAACUCAAAGAUUAGAGCGNGAGAGAGACGACGACGACGACGAGGGAGGAGG
Molecule: ribosomal RNA, 611 nt
Filed under: uncultured bacterium
Lineage: Bacteria
Description: bacterial SSU rRNA
Rfam family: Bacterial small subunit ribosomal RNA
Source: RNAcentral